CCCUUAGAUGUCCGGGGCCGCACGCGCGCUACACUGAAGGAAUCAGCGUGGCUUUCUCCCUGACCCGAAAGGGUUGGGAAACCCGUUGAAUCUCCUUCGUGAUAGGGAUUGGGGCUUGAAAUUGUUCCCCAUGAACGUGGAAUUCCCAGUAAGCGCGAGUCAUAAGCUCGCGUUGAUUACGUCCCUGCCCUUUGUACACACCGCCCGUCGCUACUACCGAUUGAACGGUUUAGUGAGGGCCUCGGAUUGGUCUCGGCCCGCUCUUUACCGGGCGGCGCCGUUGGUCGAGAAGACGCUCGAACUUGAUCGUUUAGAGGAAGUAAAAGUCGUAACA
RNAcentral lists this ribosomal RNA (334 nucleotides) under uncultured eukaryote. RNAcentral's name for it is "partial 18S ribosomal RNA". It matches the Rfam family "Eukaryotic small subunit ribosomal RNA", at positions 1470 to 1796 of the family's 1831-position model. The record is from RNAcentral.